Molecule: ribosomal RNA, 918 nt
Filed under: uncultured archaeon
Lineage: Archaea
Description: bacterial SSU rRNA
Rfam family: Archaeal small subunit ribosomal RNA
Source: RNAcentral
UCCGGUUGAUCCUGCCAGAGGUCACCGCUAUUGGGAUUCGACUAAGCCAUGCGAGUCGAGAGGGUUCGGCCCUCGGCUGACGGCUCAGUAACACGAUGGAUAAUCUGCCCUAAGGUGGAGGAUAACCUCGGGAAACUGAGAAUAUAUACCCCAUAGGUCUAGGAGGCUGGAAUGCGCCUAGACUUAAAGCUCUGGCGCCUGAGGAUGAGUCUGCGGACUAUCAGGUUGUAGUCAGGGUAAAGACCUGACUAGCCUACGACGGAUACGGGUCGUGAGAGCAAUAACCCGGAGAUGAUAUCUGAGACACGAUAUCAGGCCCUACGGGGCGCAGCAGGCGCGAAAACUUCACACUGCGCGAAAGCGCGAUGAGGGAAUCCCAAGUGUAUGCACGUAAGUGUAUACUGUUACUAUGUUUAAAACGCAUGGAGAGUAAGAGCUGGGUAAGACGGGUGCCAGCCGCCGCGGUAAUACCUGCAGCUCGAGUGGUGAUCAUUAUUAUUGGGCCUAAAACGUCCGUAGCGGGUCUGUUAAAUGCCUGGGUAAAUCGUGUCGCUUAACGAUACGAAUUCUGGGUAGACUGACAAACUUGAGACCGGGAGAGGCUAGAGGUACUCCUGGGGUAGAGGUGAAAUUCUGUAAUCCUAGGGGGACCACCAGUGGCGAAGGCGUCUAGCUAGAACGGGUCUGACGGUGAGGGACGAAGCCCUGGGGCGCAGAACCGGAUUAGAUACCCGGGUAGUCCAGGGUGUAAACGCUGCUUGCUUGAUGUUAGUCGGGCUCCGAGCCCGAUUAGUGUCGGAGUGAAGAUGUUAAGCAAGCUGCCUGGGAAGUACGGUCGCAAGGCUGAAACUUAAAGGAAUUGGCGGGGGAGCACAGCAACGGGUGGAGCGUGCGGUCUUAAUUGGAUUCAACGCCGGG